ACAAGCGGUGGAGCAUGUGGUUCAAUUCGAAGCAACGCGCAGAACCUUACCAACCCUUGACAUGGGUAUCGCGGAUCCAGAGAUGGAUCUUCAGUUCGGCUGGAUACCACACAGGUGCUGCAUGGCCGUCGUCAGCUCGUGUCGUGAGAUGUUCGGUUAAGUCCGGCAACGAGCGCAACCCACACUCCUUAGUUGCCAUCAGUUCAGUUGGGCACUCUAGGAGAACUGCCGGUGAUAAGCCGGAGGAAGGUGUGGAUGACGUCAAGUCCUCAUGGCCCUUACGGGUUGGGCUACACACGUGCUACAAUGGUGGUGACAAUGGGUUAAUCCCAAAAAGCCAUCUCAGUUCGGAUUGGGGUCUGCAACUCGACCCCAUGAAGUCGGAAUCGCUAGUAAUCGCGUAACAGCAUGACGCGGUGAAUACGUUCCCGGGCCUU
Molecule: ribosomal RNA, 437 nt
Filed under: uncultured Paracoccaceae bacterium
Lineage: Bacteria; Pseudomonadati; Pseudomonadota; Alphaproteobacteria; Rhodobacterales; Paracoccaceae
Description: bacterial SSU rRNA
Rfam family: Bacterial small subunit ribosomal RNA
Source: RNAcentral